CAGCUCCUGAAAAAACGUGAAGCAGCUGUCCUGGGGCUACCUGUCUGCAGUGCGCCCUCACAGAGUCUAUGGGGUCCACAACCAAGGCAACAUGGAGACAGCCCAGCGGCCUCAGCAGCCAGCCCGGCCCCACUGGAGAAAUGUGCUAUCGACACACUUUCCAUGGAAGUGCAAGGAGCACCACCUCUACUGAGGUGGUCUCGGUGCUUGGUGGAAGGUGCUAUGGGGCAGCUGGUGAAGCCACACGAGGGGACAGGUGAGGCUGCUGGGCCUUAUCUUCACCAGCACCACGGCUAGGACACUUCAACUGAGGUGCUGAGAGGCCACUGUGGGCUUCUGAGGAACCUCCUACAGGCAACUCGCCGAUGCUGGUCCUACACAGGUAUGUUCUGGAGCCCAGGCUGCUUGGCUUCCUGUGCCCAUAGCAUGGCCAUUUCUUAGCCCAACUGGACGUAACCUGAGUGCCUAGAAACCUACGUAUCCCAUCACGCCCUCUUGGCUAGCCCAAAUUCUGUAAGACCAGGAGAUAAAAUUCUCUGUCAUUUAAACAUAAACACAGCCACGUCCACAGUAA
Non-coding RNA from Marmota flaviventris (yellow-bellied marmot), 574 nucleotides. The record is from RefSeq and is a predicted model, not a curated record. NCBI's taxonomy places the organism in Eukaryota, Metazoa, Chordata, Mammalia, Rodentia, Sciuridae.